Long non-coding RNA from Pongo abelii (Sumatran orangutan), 2812 nucleotides. The record is from Ensembl. NCBI's taxonomy places the organism in Eukaryota, Metazoa, Chordata, Mammalia, Primates, Hominidae.
UGGUUAGUCAAUAGGGUAUGAAAAUUCUACUUCAAGGGGUUCGGAUUGGUGAUCAUGGGGAUUGGUGAUCAUGGGGAUUGGCAUGGCUGGGUUCCAGUCCAAGGUGUGGGCAGAGCUUCUACCGAACUUCAACGUGGAGUGCUGACUUGAAGCUACCUGUCCCCCUCACUCUUGCCCCAAGAGGCCAAAGCAAGAGCAGAUUCCCUAGGCAAGAGCAGCAGCACAACCAGGAAACCCCAAAGCCCGUGCUCCGACAGGUGGCCCUUCACAGGGGGCAGCGGGACAGGCAUCUUGAAGGGCAUAUGUCCUCAGAAGCUCCGAGCCUGUUUUCUGUAGUUUACAGUUAGAGCUCUAUUUUGUUAUGGUUUUUUAAACUUUUAAGUCCUGCUCUAUUUUCCUGGGCAGGUUUAUGUUGAUGUUUACCCACUACAAUUUUUUAAAAAUAUAAGCUCACAUGCCUUUUCCCUGCCACAACCAAACCCCUACUCUACCCUACCCACCCACCCCCAGCCCAGGUCAGCUUUCCUGGAGCUGGCUAAUCAAAGCUUCCUCACCUCUUCCCAACCCUUACAAGCAAGGGUGCUAGGGGCUCAGCUAUAUGACCAUUCUCCCUGACAGGGAGUCCAAACUUGGCCUAGCAUCCCUCCUGGCCCCGCUCUGGCCACGACUUGGCCUGUGCCUGGUUCUCCAUCAGAAAGGGGAUGCUGAACAAAACCUCCUUCCAAGUUUUAUCCAAUUCCUUCCUCAUUGCCUCGGGCUGCGUCAGGGGAAGCAGGGGACAGGUGUCCAGUUGCUGGGCCGAGGGAAGAGCUGGUUUGGCAUAGGACAUAACCAGUGAAGCUAGAGGCUAUAGCCCCUAAACUUGCUUGAGGCCAACGAUAAUUACUCACAACUAAGUACCUUAAUGCUAAUGAGGUCCACUAAAAAGGGGAGGAAGGCAGACCUCCUGGGAGACCCACGAAGGGUUUUUAACCAGGGAAAACUGAGCCCCCGGAAAACCUAACCACUGUGCAGGCAGAAUUUGUUUGAGGGAUAGAACGACAAUAAAAUAAAUGUUCCUGCAGCCUGAGAUUUCAGGUAGAGUACUGAUUAAGGUUUAAUAAGACAAUAGGUGACCUGAGGACAUGCAAGCUUGUCAAAUGCAACAGCCUCCUGCUAGAGUGACUUGUACAUGAGCUUGCUUGCAGAAGACUAGAUUAGAUGCUUCUCAGGAUCCCCUGAUGCCCAGGGGUUCUCUGAUUUUCAUGUUCUCUGCCCAGAUGCGCUGGGGGAGUUGAGAGUGUGCUUAUUUUCACUGUGAUCAUGAGACCACGGUUCUGGGUUAUCUCCUCUCACACAUCAAGCCCCAGAGGAGGCGGCAAGAGAAACAGCCACAAACAAGUACUUUACCCCACGGCUUAGUGGCCAGUAAACACCCUGGGGACUAGGGACAGGAACCACCUGUAGGCACCUCUUUAGGGCCCAGGGAGACAAGUGUCCUCUCUUCUACAUACAUUUGGGCUCCCCUUACAGAGCCCUUUGCCCUGGCUCUGUGGUCCUUGUUGCUCUAACAGUCCAGAUGUACACCCAGCCUCAGGGGGAAGGCAGCUCUCUCCAGACAGAGUCUCAGGGCCCAGCAAGGUCAGGUUAUCUGCUUUCAUUCAGGGCAGCAAAUGAUAGAAAUGGUGCCAGGGAGUGGCAAGGGCAUGGGGGUAGGUGGGGGGUGUCUUUUUCUUUUCAUAAAGUAACAACAGACGAGACAGAGAUUAAACAUCAGAAAAAAACCUCUGGAAUGACCUUCCUCAUUCCAGGAGGCCCUGGAAUAAGGAAGAGGCUUCUUUCUGAGGGACCUUUGAGGAAUUUUGACAGCUGUUGACAUGGGGUCUAGGAUAGGGGAAGCUGUGACUGGAGGGGCAGGAGAUGGUCCAAGUGUCCAUCCAGAGAUGAGACUCUUAGAAUCAAAGUGUUCAGCCCAGGAGGUCUUGGAGAUCCCACCUGCUGUGGCCCUGUACCUUACGGGAAGCCAUUAAGGGGGCUCAUCUAGGAAUUCUGGUUACAGCCCAGUGCUUAUCCCAGCGUAUGCUGCCUCUUUAGAGCAGUCCCAAGGGCCAGCCAGCCUGUACUCUGGGCAAGAGCCCAAAAUGGCUAGGAAUGUUUGACUCCCUUAAUCUCUUCCCCAGCUACAGGGGAAUCUUUUCUCUGCCUGGUCUCAGAAUGGGACUGCCAACUGGCUCAUUGGUCGGAGAUGCAGUAUCCUCAAACCUGUGGCCACUGGCAGGACAGCGGUGCUCUGUCUCCCUGGGUGAGACCUAUCCUAGGCUUACUCCUGGAUGUGAUGGGGAUUGCCAGAGAGGCUCUUAGCAUAAAAGGGAUCAGAUGGGCAUUUUUCUAUGUGCCUCCAAAAAGCUCCAUGGAAACACGCACCUGGUAGCUGUGGGACACCUGUGGACUUGUGUAUAUGGUCAUAGGCUUUGGGCAGACAGGACGAAAAGGAAAAUGAGAGAAACAAAAUGGGUCAGAUAGCUUUGGCCAGAGCCCCAGGCAGCCUUUGGGGCCUAUGACACUUAGUGCCCUUAGAUGGGAUAUAUCUUGCCUCGGCCCCAAGACUCCUCCAACUUACCCGUCCCAUCCAGGGCCUGCACAGCUUAGAGAGGCUCACAGCUUGGCAAAUGCUAGGGCUUCAUCGGACCACUGACUUGACUCAGUGUUUGUUAAAACAGAACCACUCCCAUUGGCCUACUACUUCUCUCCUAUACUUCUUGUAAUGAUAGUUAUUUAUUGACUCUGGUAGCAGGCAGUUCUUAAAUAAAGAUGGUUUCUCAACCUGUUGGGG